This is a long non-coding RNA of Pipra filicauda (Wire-tailed manakin), 801 nucleotides long. RefSeq lists it as uncharacterized. The transcript is spliced from 5 exons. The record is from RefSeq and is a predicted model, not a curated record. NCBI's taxonomy places the organism in Eukaryota, Metazoa, Chordata, Aves, Passeriformes, Pipridae.
AGGUUGGAUAAAUGGCUUGCAAAAGGUAGCCUAUACAGCACUAGAUAGAAGUGAAGAUGAGUGACAGAGUCACAGUUUUGAAUCACUGUCCGGAGACCUGAUGUGGAUUCUUAUGAAUUGGUAGUGGAUCCCUGCCUCUUUGUGGUCUGUUCACAUCUGUCCAGAGAGCAGAGCAGGAAAGCUUCAGCCAACAAUGCCAAUACAACCCUAUAAAGAUUAAUAGGGUACCUGAAAAGCAACAAGGACUUUGAGUGAUUUCAAGGAUUCCAAAGACUCAAGAAAUCAAUUUCGGAAAUAUAGUUCAUCAGCAUUAGCAAGAUCAUUAUCCACAUCUCAUUUCUAGUGUGCCAAACAAUUUACACAUACUGGAAUACCAGAGAAGCAAGCCAAUGAAGAAGAUUGAAGAUUGAGUGAUCUGAUAUACACUAUUGGACAUCAGAUGGUACAAAUCAGAUGUGUAUCAACAAGUAGCAGCACUGAUAUUGCAUUAUUUCAUAUGGAGAAAAAAGGUGUUUCCAUCCCAUGGUUUUUGCCCUGGACCACCCUCAGUCAUGACCCUUGGGAAUUGGGACUGGGAUCUUUAAGACCCUCUCUUCAUCAAUCUUCAUCUUCUUCAGGAUACAGGGGGCAGAUGUCUCUGGAAUUAGACCAACACAUUCAUCCAGAAAACAAACUAACAUCAGACCAGCAUAAAUUACUAGACAGCAGUUCCAGAUUUGUUAGGAAGGGCAGUUACCUACACACGCACAUAAAAAAAUUAAAAAAAUCAGAUUUGCUUUUUCUAUUUUUUUUUGCUUUGGA